This is a long non-coding RNA of Sorghum bicolor (sorghum), 521 nucleotides long. RefSeq lists it as uncharacterized. NCBI's taxonomy places the organism in Eukaryota, Viridiplantae, Streptophyta, Magnoliopsida, Poales, Poaceae. The record is from RefSeq and is a predicted model, not a curated record. The transcript has 3 exons.
GCUCCUCCACCAAAUGAAGCUCCGAUGACACCACCGAUCAGUGCUAUUGCAGAAGUGCUCUUGGAGCCCAUGGAUGCCGGCCUUUUUCCAUGAUCGUCCCCAAGGAGAAUUGCUGCUGCCUCGUCGACCCGUUGUCCUCGCAGCGAUGUCAUCACCACCGGCUACCGCUGACCCACACCAAACAGCAAGGUUGCCACUUUCUUUCUCCUCCGAAUCAUCUGUUCUUGAUCCUCUUAACCAUAUCUUGAUCUCUCAUAUGGUGCAUGAUAUUUUGCAAGGACGAAUUGAAGUUGCCUCAACCGUCAGUGUCCCUAUCGUCACCAUUCUGCUACUGGCUGCCAUCAACUUGAUCAUCAGCUGCUAUAAUUUCCCAAUGUUUAUGUAUGAUGCUUGUGCUGGUUGCUAUCGAUGUUAUAGUGGAGCUACACGAGGAGCAGAUAUUCGAAAAGUGGAACCAUCAACAAGUGUUUGAAAGGCAAGUGUAACAUGAGUUCCCUUGUUACCUAAUAACCAUUUAAUCA